This 306-nucleotide ribosomal RNA is filed under the name uncultured bacterium. RNAcentral describes it as "partial 16S ribosomal RNA". It matches the Rfam family "Bacterial small subunit ribosomal RNA", at positions 507 to 809 of the family's 1533-position model. The record is from RNAcentral.
GACAGCAGCAGCCGCGGUAAAACGAAGGGUGCAAGCGUUACUCGGAAUUACUGGGCGUAAAGCGUGCGUAGGUGGUGGUUUAAGUCCGUUGUGAAAGCCCUGGGCUCAACCUGGGAAUUGCAGUGGAUACUGGGUCACUAGAGUGUGGUAGAGGAUAGUGGAAUUUCCGGUGUAGCAGUGAAAUGCGUAGAGAUCGGAAGGAACAUCUGUGGCGAAGGCGACUAUCUGGGCCAACACUGACACUGAGGCACGAAAGCGUGGGGAGCAAACAGGAUUAGAUACCCCUGUAGUCCCUGUCUCUUAUAA